Molecule: long non-coding RNA, 663 nt
Filed under: Saimiri boliviensis boliviensis (Bolivian squirrel monkey)
Lineage: Eukaryota; Metazoa; Chordata; Mammalia; Primates; Cebidae
Description: lncRNA (ENSSBOG00000036648.1)
Source: RNAcentral
GUAUUCUAAUUUUUUUUUUUUUUUUUCAGACAGAGUCUCACCCUGUCGUCCAGCCUGGAGCUGAAGUACAAUGGUGUGAUCUCUGCUCACUGCAACCUCCACCUCCCAGGGACAAGCGAUUCUCCUGCCUCAGCCUUCAGAGUAGCUGGGAUUAACAGAUGUGCACCACCAAGACCAGCUAAUUUUUUGUAUCUUUAGUAGAGACAGGGUUUCACCAUGUUUGCCAGGCUGGUCUCAAACUCCUGACCUCAUGAUCUGCCCACCUUGGCCUCCCAAAGUGCUGGGAUUACAGACAUGAGCCACCGCACCUGACUAAUUUCUUAAACUCCCUGCUUAAAGUGAUAAUGAUCGCUAAAAUUUUCACAAGUAGAGGGUAAAGAGAGAAAAAACGAAGUUGCCACAGCCCUGAUUGCCAGCCCUUUAGAACUGAUAAGAACAGAAAUCAUCACAACCUUGGUUCUCGGUAGAUUUGUCAAUCUGCAUGCCAUUGGGAUCAUGUUAGAAGACCUAGGCACUUGGGAAUGCCAGCAAUCAGGUACCAUCUUUAAUACGUAUAUGGAGUAAAUUUUUCUGGAUUACUGAGGAUUUUUUGAUCCCCCUAAAUUUUGUGAACAUGGUGAGUACAUCAUUGACCUCACACUACUUUCAGCCUUGCUAUCUGCC